Molecule: small RNA, 506 nt
Filed under: Cryptococcus neoformans H99
Lineage: Eukaryota; Fungi; Basidiomycota; Tremellomycetes; Tremellales; Cryptococcaceae
Description: Cryptococcus neoformans var. grubii H99 hypothetical RNA
Source: RNAcentral
GCAACACCUAUUUUCUACAUAAUUCCUUUUCGCUCUGAAACCAUAAAAAGUGGACGCUGCAAGUAACGUGGUCGCCCGGCCUACCCUUGUGUUUGUCAUUAAGUAAGCUUAGCUCCAAAUUCGAAGGCAACUACCCGAUCUAGUCAAACUCGAGUGGAGCCACACGACUCAACGAGCUAGAUAGUGAAGCUGGUACGGAGUGAUUUAUUUCUUCAUUAAUGGGAGCAUGGCGACUCACUGGAAAUGGGUUGAGUAUGAAGUGACCUAAGAAGGGACAGUGUCCAAGGGGAAAGACUAGAUAGAAGAAGACGGCGAGGAUGAGAUUGUUGGGGAUAGUCAACUGUUUGACCUGAAACCGAUUGAUUUUGAAGUGUCGGUAACCGCAGAUGGGUUGAAAUGAUUCGUAAUCUAUGUCAGGAACUGAGGAAAUGGCCUAUGAUGUUUUAUAGCACAGAGUGAGUUGUAAGGAUGCUGGCCAUGAUUCAAUGAACUACGACUGCUUGCCA